GGCUGUCCUCAUGACCCGAUAAAGUGACACAGGAAAAUGUGUCUUGAAUCUUGUCCUUCAGUAAUUGUCUUCAGCAUCAUGUUGAAGGAGGUCAUUGCGGAUCCUGUCCCUCUGUUCCUGUCUACUUCUCUGAGACACCUUUAGGCAGGUCCAGAAUCUCCGUUCUCACUUCAGCAACUCCUGCAUUUAAACACAGCUGUCAUCUGCCAAGAGGGCCUAAGUUAGAGGAGUCAUCUCCCCGUCCAUGCUGGGAUUUUCGCUGGUCUGAUCUUGUGAAAGUCUUCCCAGGUAACCACGGCUGCGGUGAGUUCCUGAGUGCAGCAGCCUCGUCACGUCCACAGGACGGCAUUUCACCGAGCGCCUCCGCAUCCUCCAGCUCUUCUGCUUUCCCCACCUCCUCUCUGUGCCGUUCCCCAGCCUUGGCACAGGUGGGAGGAUUGAGGAAAAUGUUCCAUUUAGGGCUGAGCACUCAUAAUCCUUUAUUCUCAAGCACUUUGACCAAAACCUACUCAGUUUGCUAUCUAUAUGAAGUUUAGCAUUUUAUCCUUAGCUUUUUUUUUUCUUUUUAGCAUUAUCUGAUAAUGUAUGCACAAACAUGUUUAUUAUGAGAGAUUCUAGGCUAGAAAGUCAUAAAUGUUAAAUCAAUCACAGAAAUUAUAAAUAAUCAUUUAUAAGAUGAAAUGUAUUACAUAGGUAUCAAUAUAUAAAUUAUAGAUGUAUCUGAUACAUGUAAAGAAAUUCUAUUCUUAUUAAAUGACAAAUGGACAAUUUGGAAA
Grammomys surdaster is the source of this 776-nucleotide long non-coding RNA. RefSeq lists it as uncharacterized. The transcript has 4 exons. The record is from RefSeq and is a predicted model, not a curated record. NCBI's taxonomy places the organism in Eukaryota, Metazoa, Chordata, Mammalia, Rodentia, Muridae.